CUGGAUAUGAUGACAUUCUGUAGAACUCCUGACUGUUAAUGAUGGUGUUAGUAUUCAUACUAUCUGAUCCAG
Esox lucius (northern pike) is the source of this 72-nucleotide small nucleolar RNA. The record is from Ensembl. NCBI's taxonomy places the organism in Eukaryota, Metazoa, Chordata, Actinopteri, Esociformes, Esocidae.